This 253-nucleotide ribosomal RNA is filed under the name uncultured bacterium. Its description in RNAcentral is "partial 16S ribosomal RNA". It matches the Rfam family "Bacterial small subunit ribosomal RNA", at positions 524 to 776 of the family's 1533-position model. The record is from RNAcentral.
GACGGAGGAUGCAAGUGUUAUCCGGAAUCACUGGGCGUAAAGCGUCUGUAGGUGGUUUAAUAAGUCAACUGUUAAAUCUUGAGGCUCAACCUCAAAAUCGCAGUCGAAACUAUUAGGCUAGAGUAUAGUAGGGGUAAAGGGAAUUUCCAGUGGAGCGGUGAAAUGCGUAGAGAUCAGGAAGAACACCGGUGGCGAAGGCGCUCUGCUAGGCCGUAACUGACACUGAGGGACGAAAGCUAGGGGAGCGAAUGGG